RNAcentral lists this long non-coding RNA (1225 nucleotides) under Olea europaea subsp. europaea. Lineage: Eukaryota; Viridiplantae; Streptophyta; Magnoliopsida; Lamiales; Oleaceae. The record is from RNAcentral.
AUCAUGAGUUCGACAUUAUAUACAAUGCUAUAUUACUUGUUCAAGAUCUCAUCCACUUGUGGGAAGUAAAGUUAUCACCACUCUAUCCCAAGGGUAGUCAAAAAAUAUGUCGAUGUUAUCAACAAUUGACAAUGGUAUUGAUACCCACACUAUUAUCAGAGCAUUGAAUACUCCAACAAAUAGAGCAAGGUCGAGCUUGUAUCGAUUAGCUCAGGGCGUUGAUGAUCGGAGAAAAGUCUUCUCGAAUUAGGCACAUGAAUUCUUCUCUAUGGAUUUGAAGUAUUUGUCCUUUGUCGAUCGCCCUUCAGAAUGAGACCACAUCUCAAUCCCGUCAUGACUGCAUAUUCUUGCAAUUCAAACCCAGUCAAGUGCCCUUGCACAUUGAACCAUAAUUCGUUUGUCUUAUUAGUUCGAAUGGAUCUGAAUACUAGUUGUUGGAUUAAUUGGGUAGAGAAUUGUAUGUCUGGAACCUCGAUAGAAACCCAAGGCAUGAGUUGCGAAAAUCUUCUCAUUGUCGGUCAUCAAAAUGCUCCAUAACCCUUUCUAGGUACUUGAAAUUGCUUCUUUGUGAGGUAUAGCGAGAAAACAUAAAACAGUCAAAUCAUAAUAUUUCAUGCAUGUUAAUGCCAAACACACGUUUUACGUUCGGAUAAAUCCAAGAUGGACAUGUGGACCACGAUGCAACAACAAAUCAAAAAAUCGUCAGAUUAUAAUAUUUCAUACAUGUUAAUGCCAAACACGCAUGUAAUGUUCGGAAAAACCAAAGUUCGACAAGUGGAUCUGUUAUGUGUCGAGAAAAAUGGACAUGAAUUGUCAAUCUUGACAAUUCAUCUGCCAAGAACGUUAGGUAAUCUCGAUAGAUGACUCAUCUCAUCCAUUAAUAUUCAGCUAUUUGCCGAGAAUUAAUGCGACGGCUCACUUCAAUGCCAUUUCUCUACUUAAGUUAAUUGUCGAGAAAUCUACUUUUGACCUCUAAACCAUCGAAAUGAGAAAGGAGUAAAAGGUAUGAAAGAGUUUGUAAAUAUUGUUUGAUGCCAGUUGGCUUAAGCAUUUAUAGCACAACAUUGCAAAAUUGGUGAAUUAAGAGUUUCUCGUUUAACCUUCUAAAACACUGAAAUCAUUCAAUGAUGAAAGGGAAAAAAAGUAGUCCAAAAAAUAGUUUGUAAAUUAGUAAAUUAUGCCAUCACAAUGUUUACUUAUUAGCAUUUUUUUUUUUUAAAUCACG